RNAcentral lists this long non-coding RNA (1829 nucleotides) under Rhagoletis pomonella (apple maggot). Its description in RNAcentral is "uncharacterized LOC118749728, transcript variant X2". Lineage: Eukaryota; Metazoa; Arthropoda; Insecta; Diptera; Tephritidae. The record is from RNAcentral.
GUCUGUCCUAAAGAAGGCAGAAAAUUUUUGUCGACUACAUAAUAAGUUACCGAAAUUUGGAUAUACUUCUGUAUAGUACAUGUAUACAUAUGUACACCGUGUGCGUAUUUAUAUGAAAAAAAAACUAAAAUUGCAAGUGGUUAUGUUUGCAUAAUGUCCAUACAGUUAUGAAUUCACUAAAUUUGGAGAGAAAGAAAUGAAAUUACUUCAUUAAAAUUUGUAAUGAUGAAAAUUUUCAUUUUUAUGGCGAUAAGUGCGCCUGCUGCUUUGGUCGUAGUUCGUGAAUAAGCGAAUGCGAGUUCGACGUGAACGACACACAUACGUUAACAGGGCGGCGGGCGUGCGAAGCGUAAACGUAUCCGUGGCGUUCUUUGUACCAUUGGAGCGUUUUCAUUUAGUGUAGAAGCAUACUUUUAGACAAUGUAGCGUGGUGGCAGAGUGGAAGUGUAAAAGCGUAUAGUCAGUCGUAUGUGUACGAUUUAAAGCGGAAAGUGUAAAGUGUACCGAAGAAAGACAGUGAAGUGAGCGAGGUAGCAAAUAAAAAGAAAGAGUGCAGCGACACAGUAUUAGCGAAGUCGCAAAAGCUCAAAAGGAAAUAAAGAAUACCAGUAAAGUGUGAAAGGCAACGAAGUAAAGGCAGUAAGUGAACUGAUUUGACUGUGAAAAAUUAGUAAGAAUAAAAUUAAAAGCAAAAGCUAAAUUGAAACCAUAAAAAAUACCAAAUUUGUAAAUGUUAAAAAAUGUACUCCCCCUUGAGUGUGCUACUGCCACAGCUACUAUAUACAUAUAUAUGUACUUAGAUAUGCAUUUACAUACAUAUGUUCAUACUCGCAUAAUUAUAUUGUGCGUGCAACGAGCCAACUAAUCAACCAGCUAACUAAUCGAAGACCAAAAUUCCUAUUUGUAGAAUAGCAUAUUAUCUUGUACGGUUUUGCAUUUUAUUCGGUUCAUUUUUCGCGUUUCGAGCUACGCUUUCCCCGAAAUAAAUCGUGUGUAGAAGAUGAAGAAUUCCAAAUUGUGUCACAAAAUGAAGGCAAUCAGUUUAACAAAGCAGUUCUAUCAACAGCACUCAACACGGCAACCCUCCGGAACGACCACCACGCACUCGACCUCGCCACCCACACUCAUUUUCACUUCGUCAUCAGGUUUAGGAAAGCUGUGAUCGAAAACUCCGCUGCUUGAAAAAAUGAGGAAAAAGAGAAACUUAAAUUUAACGUGUAGAAGUCAGACCCAAAAAUCGUGUUGACUGGUGUUAUCAACUUCAACCAGAUUGCAUAAAAAAUACGGAUUUUCCAAAUACCUCGACUACAGCGCCACCCAGCUGUCCAUUUUUAUCAAAAGAAUUUUUCAUCAUACAGCGCCACCCAGCGGGAUUUCAUGUAGUAUAUAAUAGGACCAUAUAUGCAAGGUAUAUACAAUUUGACUGAACUCUAUCCAGUGGUUUUUGAGUUUAGUCCGAACAACGAAAACGGCUAUCAUUUUAUGUAUAUAUGUGUAUAUGAUAACCAAGCAAGUGUGAACAACCGAACUUAAAUUGAAUGUCAAUAAAAAUAAGUUUGUGGUUAUAUCAAGACGAAAUUUUGAGAGCAGUACGGUGGUAACUCUAAAUAUAAACAACGAAGCACUGGAAAAAGUUAACACAUUCCUAAGAAUAAAGAUCGAUGAUAAACUGAAAAAAAUUGAUUCUAUAUUUUCAGUUAGACCUCUAGCAAUAUGUACAUCAGCGAAAACCGCAUUUAAUUCCAUACAUUAGUUUUAGAUAAACCAAAAUUACAAAAACUGUUUAUUUGGCUUCCGUCGAUCUAAUAAACCACGUACUCCUUAUUAUC